Molecule: ribosomal RNA, 253 nt
Filed under: uncultured bacterium
Lineage: Bacteria
Description: partial 16S ribosomal RNA
Rfam family: Bacterial small subunit ribosomal RNA
Source: RNAcentral
UACGUAGGGUGCAAACGUUAAUCGGAAUUACUGGGCGUAAAGCGUGCGCAGGCGGUUUUGUAAGUCUGUCGUGAAAGCCCCGGGCUCAACCUGGGAAUUGCGAUGGAGACUGCAAGGCUUGAAUCUGGCAGAGGGGGGUAGAAUUCCACGUGUAGCAGUGAAAUGCGUAGAGAUGUGGAGGAACACCGAUGGCGAAGGCAGCCCCCUGGGUCAAGAUUGACGCUCAUGCACGAAAGCGUGGGGAGCAAACAGG